GAUGAACGCUGGCGGCGUGCCUAAUACAUGCAAGUCGAGCGAACAGACGAGGAGCUUGCUCCUCUGACGUUAGCGGCGGACGGGUGAGUAACACGUGGAUAACCUACCUAUAAGACUGGGAUAACUUCGGGAAACCGGAGCUAAUACCGGAUAAUAUAUUGAACCGCAUGGUUCAAUAGUGAAAGACGGUUUUGCUGUCACUUAUAGAUGGAUCCGCGCCGCAUUAGCUAGUUGGUAAGGUAACGGCUUACCAAGGCAACGAUGCGUAGCCGACCUGAGAGGGUGAUCGGCCACACUGGAACUUAGACACGGUCCCGACUCCUACGGGAGGCCGCAGUAGGGAAUCUUCCGCAAUGGGCGAAAGCCUGACGGAGCAACGCCGCGUGAGUGAUGAAGGUCUUCGGAUCGUAAAACUCUGUUAUUAGGGAAGAACAAAUGUGUAAGUAACUAUGCACGUCUUGACGGUACCUAAUCAGAAAGCCACGGCUAACUACGUG
This 497-nucleotide ribosomal RNA is filed under the name uncultured bacterium. RNAcentral's name for it is "partial 16S ribosomal RNA". It matches the Rfam family "Bacterial small subunit ribosomal RNA", at positions 28 to 507 of the family's 1533-position model. The record is from RNAcentral.